This 496-nucleotide ribosomal RNA is filed under the name uncultured bacterium. RNAcentral's name for it is "partial 16S ribosomal RNA". It matches the Rfam family "Bacterial small subunit ribosomal RNA", at positions 28 to 506 of the family's 1533-position model. The record is from RNAcentral.
GAUGAACGCUGGCGGCGUGCCUAAUACAUGCGAGUCGAGCGAACAGACGAGGAGCUUGCUCCUCUGACGUUAGCGGCGGACGGGUGAGUAACACGUGGAUAACCUACCUAUAAGACUGGGAUAACUUCGGGAAACCGGAGCUAAUACCGGAUAAUAUAUUGAACCGCAUGGUUCAAUAGUGUAAGACGGUUUUGCUGUCACUUAUAGAUGGAUCCGCGCCGCAUUAGCUAGUUGGUAAGGUAACGGCUUACCAAGGCAACGAUGCGUAGCCGACCUGAGAGGGUGAUCGGCCACACUGGAACUGAGACACGGUCCAGACUCCUACGGGAGGCAGCAGUAGGGAAUCUUCCGCAAUGGGCGAAAGCCUGACGGAGCAACGCCGCGUGAGUGAUGAAGGUCUUCGGAUCGUAAAACUCUGUUAUUAGGGAAGAACAAAUGUGUAAGUAACUAUGCACGUCUGGACGGUACCUAAGCAGAAAGCCACGGCUAACUACGG